UACGUAGGGGGCAAGCGUUGUCCGGAUUUAUUGGGCGUAAAGAGCGUGUAGGCGGCCUGACAGGUCUGCUGUGAAAACUCGAGGCUCAACCUCGAGAUGUCGGCGGAAACCGUCUGGCUAGAGUCCGGAAGAGGAGAGUGGAAUUCCUGGUGUAGCGGUGAAAUGCGCAGAUAUCAGGAAGAACACCCGUGGCGAAGGCGGCUCUCUGGGACGGUACUGACGCUGAGACGCGAAAGCGUGGGGAGCGAACAGG
This 253-nucleotide ribosomal RNA is filed under the name uncultured bacterium. RNAcentral describes it as "partial 16S ribosomal RNA". It matches the Rfam family "Bacterial small subunit ribosomal RNA", at positions 524 to 776 of the family's 1533-position model. The record is from RNAcentral.